Molecule: ribosomal RNA, 468 nt
Filed under: uncultured bacterium
Lineage: Bacteria
Description: partial 16S ribosomal RNA
Rfam family: Bacterial small subunit ribosomal RNA
Source: RNAcentral
GACGAACGCUGGCGGCGUGCUUAACACAUGCCAGUCGAACGGAAAGGCCCUGCUUUUGUGGGGUGCUCGAGUGGCGAACGGGUGAGUAACACGUGAGUAACCUGCCCUUGACUUUGGGAUAACUUCAGGAAACUGGGGCUAAUACCGGAUAGGAGCUCCUGCUGCAUGGUGGGGGUUGGAAAGUUUCGGCGGUUGGGGAUGGACUCGCGGCUUAUCAGCUUGUUGGUGGGGUAGUGGCUUACCAAGGCUUUGACGGGUAGCCGGCCUGAGAGGGUGACCGGCCACAUUGGGACUGAGAUACGGCCCAGACUCCUACGGGAGGCAGCAGUGGGGAAUAUUGCACAAUGGGCGGAAGCCUGAUGCAGCAACGUCGCGUGCGGGAUGACGGCCUUCGGGUUGUAAACCGCUUUCGCCUGUGACGAAGCGUGAGUGACGGUAAUGGGUAAAGAAGCACCGGCUAACUACGUG